This 6250-nucleotide long non-coding RNA is filed under the name Homo sapiens (human). RNAcentral describes it as "HSALNT0050635". The record is from RNAcentral. Lineage: Eukaryota; Metazoa; Chordata; Mammalia; Primates; Hominidae.
AUGAGGAAACUGAGGCUGAGUGAGGAAGAGUCCUGUCUCCACCCAGCAAUCAUCUGCCACAUAUGCCUUCUCCACCUUCUUAUCCACUGACAGAAUGGACACGAAGAAAGAUGAAUGGGGCCACACCAGGGCUAGGAGAGCUCAGAUGGACUUUCUGAUAUUUCUUGUGCUGGAGAAAGCUCAGAGCAACCUGACAUGGCCAGUUGUGCAAAGCAUAUUGCCUCUCUUUGGUGCCAUAUCUUUUUCCCUUUGAUGUGUGAUCACUUCAUUCCCUCCUUGAUUGCUUUUCAAAAGCAAUCUAAAUUAAUGCGAACCCACAAAGGGCAAGGCUCUCUGUGAAUAAUUAGUGCAUGAUAAUAAAUGCAAAUAGGGAAAGAUGCAAAGUUGGCCUAAGAACUACUGCUCCCUGCUCCCCUGCCCAUUCUCUCCACAUUGGGAAUUCUCUUUACAUUAUUAAAGAAAGAAUUUGAGUAAACUUGAGAAAGGGUGGUAUUCCUAAGCAGAGCACUGGAUUCAUUGAAGGAUGGUAGAAAGAAAGAACAGAAGCUAAAAGAAUCAGACCAGUGACUGCUACAGGGUCUUUGUCCUUUUUUUGUAGGUUCCACUGAAGACAAAACACUUGUCUAGAUUUCUGCCAUUCAGAGGAGGACAUAUCAUCACAGUCAAGAAGGAGCCACCAUAAUUUGGUCCUGUCCACUCAGGAUUUUAUCCUACAAACCCUGAGCUCCAGUCAAUCUUGUCUCCUUUCUGCUCCUUGGCUAAAUCAAAUUAAAAACAAAUCCAAAGCCGGGGAUGAGAUGUGUUCAGACCUUCCGUAAAACUGUCUUGAAUAUUAUGCAGAGAGAACUGGACAAACUGAAGGUUAGGAAAUGUUUCAGCUGGUAAGGCAAGCCCCUGCUUAUUCUCCAUCAAAUCGUUUGUCCCGAGUCCCUUCUGGAAGUCAGUUUUUAUCUAUUGUCAUAUUUAAUGGGCAGAGCUGUAUGGGAAGGGGAUGAAGUAUCUGUGGAGCCUGAAAAUUGGACUCCUCCAAUCCCUUUAUUCAAGAUCAUAGAUUAUUAGAUCAAUACAAGAUUUGGGCAGGGACACACAUCCAAACUGUAUCAUCUCCCAUGCACCCCAUAUUCCCUACACUUCCUGUAAUCCAGGGACAGAAAACAGAUUUCAGCUCAAGUGCCUUCUAAUCCAUUUACAAUGGCUGCCAGGAGGGCUAUAUUCAGAAUAGUCUGAGAGCAUGUCUGGGAUCAGUAGGAAAUGGGUGAGAAAAUCCAGAAGUUUCAUGUCCUUCACAUCUCUGUCAUUCCUGAUUGAGUCCACCCCUGUCAUUUUCACUGUGGCCAAAUUAAGGCCUUAAAGGAAGAACUGACACCCAGCAUCACAGAGUAAAUUGAUAAAAAGAACCCAGCUCUCCCUGAAUCUCUUAUUUUCCUAUAAUCCAGAGUUUAAGACAGGAGAUGGAUCUAAGAGUACAGUCAUAAUACUAUAACCAUUUCUAAAUGCUUACUAUGUGCCAAGUACUAUCCUAAGUGCUUUUCAUGUAUAUUCGCAUUUAAUCCUGCCAGAACACUGAGAAAUAAUCAUCCCCGCUUAACGGGUGAAAUUGACACACAAGAGUGGUCAAGUAACCCAUCCAAUAUCCCAGGACCAGUAAGUGACAAAGUAGGGAUUGACACACGGCAAGAAUAGAACAGAACUGGGUCUAGAAACAUCCUCACACAAUCGGUGGAAGAUUCUGGUAAUUACACCAACACAUACAAAGUCAAUUCGCAUUGGAAAAAUACCCCAUGAAGGCCCAGUGAUCUUUUCAGCCCUGGUGAUGUCAAAGGCUGCAGAAUAAGGAGUGGAAAGUCCUAGUUACCAUGACAGGAAGCACCAGUGAGUGAUUUAGAAGGCAGGAGAUGAGAACAGGCAAUUCAGCAGGACUCAGGUAGGACGCUGAGCUCUUGGCAUGAACAGAUAGGUUUCGCCAUGGUCUCGAGUAUGACAGGUUGGUCCCAAAAGGUCCAGUUUUGCUCAAAAGAUUCCCUGAAACUGAAAAUGUAGUAUAACGGAAUAUCACUGGCUGGCUCCAAUCCUCGGGGCUUGCUGUUUCAGAAGAGAAAGAGGCGCCCAUCGAUGUAUUUAUAGGCUUAAAGCUGGCAUGCACUGAAGCUACCUGGGGUUACUCAACAACUGUUUUAGGGCACAUUUCCUCCAUCUUUUUGUUUCAUUAGGUUUUAGUCGGUCAGCUAUCUGGGGCCUGAAUUAGGAUUUCACACACAUCCAGAGCCAAAUGACAAAACAAACAAAAGAAGCCCUGUGACUAAAACAGAACUUGGGGUCAGCAGCUCAGUAAGGGUGGCCCCCUGGAAACAACUCCUGUGUAGGAUCAAAGGAAAGUCAAGUGGUAUGUCACAUCCCAGGGCUGGGGACCCUUAGGGGAGGGGAGCCCCACUGCCUUGAGCUCAGCCAGUCACCCCUUUGUUCCACGACCUUGGCCUGCAAAGUUCUUCCCUCCCAUCCCUGAGCAAAAUCCUAAAGUUCCUUCAAGUUCUGGCCCAAGUGUCGACUUCUUUGGGAAGUCUUCCCUUACUCCAUCCCUACCCCACCUCUUCUUCCUACAGAAAAAAAAAGAAGUUUCUCGUCCCCCUCCUCCACACUCUGUCCUCAGUUCCCAGCCCAUCCCACAAGUCUCUGGAGACUGGGAGAGCAUAGGUGUGGAGUCGCCCUCAUUCACCACUUUAGAGAGACUGGAACAACAUCAGCAGCCCUGUGGAGGCAAGCCCAGGCCCAGGCACUAUGGUCUCCCGGAUUAUAAUGAUUCACACACGGAAAACAUUGGAGAGAAAAAGCUGAAAAGGAAUAUGCUGCCCAAAUUUCUCUACCAUGAGCAAGUAUUGCUUUUAUCAUUGGAAAAACAUAAAAUAAACAUUUUAAUGGACUGCACAUUUCUCACGCUAAAGGAGCUAAUGGUGUUUCCUAUUGUGUGGAAAACAGACCUGAACCCAUCCACAGGAUGCUGAAGAAUCCACAAAUUACGGCACGCAUUGACAGUGCCUAUGUACAUGGGAAGGAGGAAACUCAGCCUGCCUGGGGCAUCAGGGAAGGCUCCACACAGGACAGGAUGAGUGAGAGCUCUCCAGUUAGACUAGGGAAGAUGAGGCAGAAGGGAAUUCAAGGCAGAAGGAACAGUAUGGUCAAAGGCAGAGUCAUGAAUGUGCAAGCUAAAUAAUAUGGCUGGAAUGUGGGAGAUAUGGGAGAUGAUAUCAUUUGGAUGGGUGUCCCCGUUCAAAUCUCACAUUGAACGAUAAUCCACAGUGUUGGAGGUGAGCCCUGGUAAGAGGUGACUGGAUCAUGGGGGCAGAUUUCUCAUGAAUGAUUAGCACCAUCCCCCUUGGUACUGUUUUCACCACAGUGAGUUCUUGUGAGUUCUGGUUAUUUAAAAGUGUGUAGCAUCUCCCCCCUCACUUUCUCUCACUCCUGUUUUUGCCAUGUGAUAUGCCUACUCCCCUUUCAGGUUCCACCAUGAUCGUAAGUUUCCUGAGGCCUCCCCAGAAGAUGUUGGCACCUCAUUUCCUGUAAAGCCUGCAGAACCAUGAGCGAAUUAAAUCUCUUUUCUUUAUAAAUCACCCAGUCUCAGGUAUUCCUUUAUAGCAAUGCAAGAAUGGCCUAAUACUGGAGAGAAUCGUGGAUGUGAGGUAUGCAAUAAAAGGUUAACUCCACUAGCUUGGGGUCCUCAAACUCUGCACCUUCCAAAGAAAGAACUGGCCCUUGACCAGCCCCCGGGAAAUAACCUCUGAGCCCUUGGAAUAUCGUGCCUGAUGGAAUAGAGUAUCUUUGUAUCGCUGGGGCUUUGGGCCACCCCACAUAGUUUAUGCUAACAGUGUAAUUCAUGAUAAAGGCCUGUUUUUGUUUACCUGGAGUCCCAGCCCAUGCUGUAUCGGUUUGAUUCCAGGCAUGCAGGGGUUGCAUAGAGACUGAGUAGCCAAGGUCAGUCACGUGGGUGACUCAUACCUCCGUGACUGACUCCCUUCUCCUAACAAAAACCCUGGACACCAAGGGGCAGUUGGGUUUCCCUGCUAUGUUUUGUCACACAUCAUUGCUGGGAGAGUUCAGUGCUAUCCAAGUGACUCCCCCGGGAGAGGACAACUGGAAAUUUAUGCCUGGUGUCUUCCUGGACUCCGACCUAUGCACCUUUUUCCUUGGAUGAUUUUAACCUGUCUCCUUUUGCUGCAAUGAACCAUAACCAUGAGUAUAUCAGCUUUUCUAAUUUUUGUGAGUCCCUCAAGUGAAUUAUCAAACCUAAGGUAGUUUUGGGACCCCCAUCACAGAGAGUCAAACAGGGGCAGGGCAAGAAGAGCUGCUUUUCCUGGAAGGCUAAUGAGUCUGAACUUCGCCCUGGAGGUAAUCGUUAUAGUAACUCCAGGCUCUAACCUGGAGCUGACAUGAUAAGGUCAAAUGUACACCUCUAGAAGACUUCCGACUGCAGAGGGGAAUGGAUGGGGGAGCUGAGGGAGGAGAGCUGAAGCAGGAAGACCAUGGCCUGGAAAGAGAUGGCUGAACCAGUCCAGCCAUCCCCUUAGCCCUCUGCCCACAGUGAUCACUAACUGAUUGCUCCUCCUUAAAAGCCACCGAAAAGUGUGCUUGGCUGAUCUCCCUGACCUCAAUUUCUCUGCUGGCAGAAUCACAAGAAAGGCAUCAGCACCUUCUGUGAAAUGGGGAGCCAUGCAGAGGAGGUGCCCAGGUGGCGAGGAGUCCAUGUCAGCUGCCGUCAUCCACACCACAGAUCAGACAUGGCAAAGAGUGGCCAGGCCUUCUGAGUGAAGGUGAUCCAACCUGUCACCAAGCCUAAGGGCAAAUCCUGGCUGUGCUGUGAUGGCUCCAACAACCCCAAACAGCAGCGCAGAGGCUGCAGCCGCCCUCGGAGGCAACACUGGGAAACGCUCAUUAGCAGCCUUCCAUUGCUCACCCGCCCCAUCCCACCUCUGUGCAUCCCAGAUCAUCAGCGAAGUGCACAGCUGGCUUCCAUCCUCGGAGCCUUCCUCCUUCAUUUGCCUAUUCAACAGUUACAAAGGCCUGAGUUGCAAAGGGGCUUACAACCCAUUCCACCCAGAAGAAAGAGAACUGAGACUGAGCAAGACAGAGAAUAGGUGGAAGGGGAGAUGAAACCAAGCAAUCUCUAGAUCCCAAAUGGGGACCCUGAUGUAGCAAGAGCCUCUUUUAAAUCCUUUUCCAAUAGGGUAAUAUGGAAAAUAGUUGAAAGCACAAGCCAAGUGGGGCUGGAAUCCCAAAUGGGCCAUUUACUAGCUGUGUGACUGGACAAGUAAUUUCAUAUUUCUGGGCCUCGAUUUUUCUCAUCUGUAAAAUAGAAAAAAAAAAACCUAUGUCAUAACGUUGAUAAACAGAUUAGAUGAGCUAAGAUCUAAAAUGUCUUCUAUUCAGUAGGUGCUCAAUAAAUGUUAUCUAUUUUUACGAUUGAGUCUCUAAGUCUGGAGAUUAAGGAGGAAAGUUUCACAUGCUGGGUUCUGCAGGUAAUACAGUGAGACAUGGUUUCUGUACUCAUGCUCCUAACUUAGGUGGCAACAGCUGAGAGGAUAGUCUGAGGCUGUGCAGGGCUGAAAGCCUCCUGAGAGGUCAUCUGAUCCCCUAUUUUCAUGGGUGAGAAAACAGAGAUGUAAAACAACCUUCUCCCAAAGUCAACAGCAAGAUAGUGCCAAAGUCAACACUAGAACCCAGGGCUCCAGGCUUCUAUUGUUCUUUCCCCUCCAAUAAAAACCUAAUGACAGGAUGCCACAAGUCAGGACGUGAAUAAAAUUUCAAAUAACUUGCCAUAGAGAACACUGUGCCCUGUCCAGAUCCCUGUUCCCAGGCCAUGUACCAUCCCUUGGCUGCUUUGGGUGGUGGCUACCAGUGGCUCACAGCUGCCCUGUCCUCUGGAGAAUUGCCACCCCCACCGUCCCCACACCCAGCUGAUGAGGGAGAUUAUACCCAGUGCUGUGUUGGCAAAUGUUUAGCAGCCACUUUCUGGUGGGGUAGGAGGAGCCCUGGCUUGAGUAUUUGCCACUUUCCCUGGUGUAAAUAUUCCCACCAUGGCCGACUCCAAGCUCCCAGCAAGACAUCACCGAAGGUGGAGUUGUGGAGAGAUGCACAUAGCUCUCCAUCACAUAGUGUUUCCACCAUAAAGAUCCAAUAACCAAAAAUAACUGCAAGUGCACAGAUUUUUAAAACUGUAGUAAAAUAAUUAGGAAGUGAUGACUUUUGAAUAUGUAUUUCC